Molecule: long non-coding RNA, 603 nt
Organism: Cylas formicarius (sweet potato weevil)
Lineage: Eukaryota; Metazoa; Arthropoda; Insecta; Coleoptera; Brentidae
Exons: 3
Source: RefSeq, a predicted model, not a curated record
UUGAGCAGCUCUUUCAGAUACCGUAUUUCAGUGAGAUGGUUACUGGAUAUGUGGUCAGCCAACGGCUGGUCGCUGGUAUUCCCUGCGUCCACAGUGGCGGAUUCAGUGGAGGCGGUGGAGGGCCCAGCGGUCUUGUCGACGACACGAGGGUCAUAUGUGCAGCAGUCUAUUUUAUCAUCCUGCAGAAUUUUAACGAAUUUACAUAUUUUGGCACAAGACUUGUGCAUUAGAACACCACAGACGAUGCACUUCAGACCCGUGCCAGCAACACCGUCACAGCGCUUACAGGCUUUUUGCACCAUUGCUAUACGUCAGUUUAAGUUAUUUAGCACAAAACCGAAAAACAAUCGGAUCCGAACUGUACAAUAAGUUUUCUACGAACCGUGGGCGGAAACAACCUUUUCACGCGCUCUCCGAAAGGCAAAAAAGGGAGUUCGAGCCGAACCAUCCAAGCGCUCUUGUUGGUCACACUAUCGAUACUAGCUCGGGAUAAAAGAAUUUAUCAUACGCGUAGAAGCAGGAGCCCGAGGACCGAACCCUGCAGCACUCCAGACGAUGCCGGUAUGCAAUUCGACACAUUGAAGUCUGCCGCUCAGAUAAAGA